GGCAGGGACUGACUCCAGUCCUUGGACUUAGGACACCGCAGCACCUUCUCUUGCGUGCGUGACUCAUUCGUAUAUCAUUUCUGUUUAUGCCUGGGGUGGGGAGAAAAAUCCCAAACCAGCUGUGUAAAUGAGUAUGGAAGAUUAUGAUUUCCUGUUCAAAAUUGUUUUAAUCGGCAACGCUGGAGUGGGAAAGACGUGCCUAGUCCGACGAUUCACUCAGGUCAAGGAGCCACAAUUGGAGUUGAUUUUAUGAUUAAGACAGUGGAGAUUAAUGGUGAGAAAGUGAAGUUACAGAUCUGGGACACAGCAGGUCAAGAGAGAUUUCGCUCCAUCACCCAAAGUUACUACCGAAGCGCCAAUGCCUUGAUCCUUACCUAUGACAUCACCUGUGAGGAAUCCUUCCGCUGCCU
Molecule: long non-coding RNA, 410 nt
Filed under: Rattus norvegicus (Norway rat)
Lineage: Eukaryota; Metazoa; Chordata; Mammalia; Rodentia; Muridae
Description: long non-coding RNA NONRATT000956
Source: RNAcentral